Molecule: long non-coding RNA, 1258 nt
Filed under: Homo sapiens (human)
Lineage: Eukaryota; Metazoa; Chordata; Mammalia; Primates; Hominidae
Description: HSALNT0110908
Source: RNAcentral
CCCAUACUGGAUGCUUCCUGCCCUUGAACAUCAGACUCCAUGUUUUUCAGUUUUGGGACUCAGACUGGCUUCCUUGCUCCUCCGCUUGCAGACAGCCUAUUGUGAGACCUUCUGAUCAUCCUUCAUUCUCCAGUGCAUGAAUCCAGGAGAAAUUUCAACUUCCAAGUCUUGUUCUUUAAGGAAUACAUUUCCUAAGGCUAUAGCUGCCAUAGACAGUGAUUCCUCUGAUGCAUCUGGGGAAAGUAAAUUGAAACCAUUCUGGAAGGAAUUCACCAUUCUAGAUGUCAUUAAGAACAUUCGUGAUUCAUGAGAGAAGGUCAAAAUAACAACAUUAGCAAGAAUUUGGAAGAAGUUGAUUCCAACCCUCAUGGAUAACUUUGAGGAAUUCAAUAUUUCAGUGGAGGAAGUAACUGCAAAUGUGGAAACAGCAAGAGAACUCAAAUUAGAAGUGGAGGUCAGGUGCGGUGGCUCACACCUGUAAUCCCAGGACUUUAGGAGGGUGAGGCAGAUGGAUCACCUGAGGUCAGGAGUUCGAGACUAGCCUGACCAACAUAGUGAAACCCCAUCUCUACUAAAAAUACAAAAAUUGGCUGGAUGUGAUGGUGGACACCUGUAAUCCCAGCUACUCAGGAGGCUGAGGCAGGAGAAUCACUUGAACCCAGGAGGCGGAGGUUUGCAGUGAGCUGAGAUCAUGCCAUUGCACUCCAGCUUGGGGGACAAGAGUGAAGCUUUGUCUCAAAAAAAAAAAAAAUUAGAAGUGGAGCUGGAAAAUGUAACUGAAUUGCUGCAAUCUCAUGAUAAAACUUUAAUGAACAAAGAGUAGUUUACUGAGUUUAUUGAGGUGGAAUCUAUUCCCGAUGAAGAUGCUGUGAACAUUGUUGAAAUGACAACAAAAGAUUUAGAAUAUUUCAUAAACUUAGUUGAUAAAGCAAUGACAAGAUUUGAGAAGACCGACUUCAAUUUUAAAAGUAUUGUAGGUAAAAUGCUAUCAAACAGCAUUUCAAGUUACAGAAAAAUCAUUCAGGAAAUUAAGAGUCAAUCCAUGCAGCAAACUUCAUUGUUGUCUUAUUUUAAGGAAUGGCUACAGCCACUCUACACUUCUGCAGUCACCACCCUGAACAGUCUGUAGCCAUCAACAUCGAGGCAAGACCUACCAUGAAAAAUAUUAUAACUUGCUAAAGUCGAGAUUAUUAUCAGCAUUUUUAGCAAUAAAAUAUUUUUGCACAAAAUCUGUACCUUGUUUUCUAGACAUAAUGAC